ACCUGGCUGGCUCAGUUGGAAGAGCAUGUGACUCUAGAUCUCAGGGUUGUGAGUUUGAGCCCCAUGUUGGGUG
Molecule: transfer RNA, 73 nt
Filed under: Ailuropoda melanoleuca (giant panda)
Lineage: Eukaryota; Metazoa; Chordata; Mammalia; Carnivora; Ursidae
Also listed under: 1 other name
Rfam family: tRNA
About the family: Transfer RNA (tRNA) molecules are approximately 80 nucleotides in length.
Source: Rfam by way of RNAcentral